Molecule: long non-coding RNA, 512 nt
Filed under: Cucumis sativus (cucumber)
Lineage: Eukaryota; Viridiplantae; Streptophyta; Magnoliopsida; Cucurbitales; Cucurbitaceae
Description: long non-coding RNA (CSAT_LNC002397)
Source: RNAcentral
GAUCAUCUUAGCGGUGAUGUGUACAAGCCUGAAGGGUCUCCAAGGAUAGUAGAGCCACCAUCAACUUCUUCACCUUUCUACACUAGACAACCUUUGUUUGACGAACCACCUCCAAGAAGCAUGCCCACUAAUCCACUCCUCACAACACCUCGGGAUGCUCAAUCUCCUAGCGGCCUCCCUCCCCCACCCUCCCGGUAUAAUCAAAGACAACAAUAUUUUGAGCAACAAAAAGCUGGUACAGGAGGCAGUCAGCCCCAUCUGAGCAACGAUUAUAGUUCUUAUGACAACAUGGUGGGGAAUACCAAGAAUCUUUCACUCAGUCCUACCCCAACCAGAUCCGCGGAGCAUGAAGAGGCCCUUUUCAAAGAUCUGGUGGACUUUGCCAAGGCCAAGUCAUCUUCCUCAAAAUCCAACCGACCAUUCUGAGAACCGAGUAGUGAAGUCUGACCUUGUUUUCUUUUCCUUUUUUUUUUUUUUGUCAUCGUCGUCGUCCUUGGCAGGUGAUCGUGGGG